Molecule: transfer RNA, 73 nt
Filed under: Mesocricetus auratus (golden hamster)
Lineage: Eukaryota; Metazoa; Chordata; Mammalia; Rodentia; Cricetidae
Rfam family: tRNA
About the family: Transfer RNA (tRNA) molecules are approximately 80 nucleotides in length. Their secondary structure includes four short double-helical elements and three loops (D, anti-codon, and T loops).
Source: Rfam by way of RNAcentral
AGGGAUAUAGUUCAGUGGUUACAGCACUUGCCUAGCAUGCAAGAGGCCCUGAGUUCAAUCCCCAGUACCAUGA